Long non-coding RNA from Pteropus alecto (black flying fox), 491 nucleotides. RefSeq lists it as uncharacterized. The transcript is spliced from 2 exons. NCBI's taxonomy places the organism in Eukaryota, Metazoa, Chordata, Mammalia, Chiroptera, Pteropodidae. The record is from RefSeq and is a predicted model, not a curated record.
GGCGGGAAGCUGGCUGAGUCUGAGGCUUUCUAGUGAACCCAGGGGGCAGCCAGAGGGCCCCAUGCUCUCGUCGCCGCCGCCGGAUGAGCUGGAGGACGAGAAGAGCCCCGAGGGCCAGGAGAAGCACCCCAGCCACUGGCGAGCACAGUACAGGCCAGGGGAGCUGGUUGGCAGGGGCUGCUGGUGGGAGAGACAGUAAAAAAGAAGCCAUUCCAGUAUGGUGAAAAUGGAUGAAAUACAGCUGUGUACACAGCCCCGAUGAACUGUGGCAUCACGACGCAAGUCCUGGAAGACUAAACAGUUAAUAGAGUAAUAGUAAUUGAACUAAUACUAUCUUAAUCCAUGGAGAUAGAAUUAUAUACUUCUUUGGGAAGGGAAUAGGAUAGAGGAGGACAUAAGUAAGUGUAAGUUAUCAUUAAUAUUGUAAUUUUCAGAUUGGAUUCAUGGGUGUUAUAUUGUAAGAAUAAUAAAAUAAAGCCAUGCACAAACCA